Molecule: long non-coding RNA, 3595 nt
Filed under: Venturia canescens
Lineage: Eukaryota; Metazoa; Arthropoda; Insecta; Hymenoptera; Ichneumonidae
Description: uncharacterized LOC122416825
Source: RNAcentral
UUCUCUCUCUCUCUCUCUCUCUCUUCAUUCUUGCACACACACGCGCACACAUUCAAUCGCUUUUGCUCUCGUGAACCAGUCACGUGGCGCCACCUGGUUGAACAAACGCAAAAACAAUUAGCAUAUGCACAUGUAUAAAGGCAAAUGUACAUUUUUACACACGCUACUAUUUCGUGAUUAUUGUCUACGUAGAAAACGGCGUAAGCGAACGACAGUCGGCGCGGAUUGACGAGCCUGCGACACGAAACGUCGGGGAAGAGUCCGCGUCUCGUAAUCCGAGCAGAACUGUCGUCCGUUGCGCUUCCAAAAAGCUGUACAAAUACUUAAAAUAUUGCGUCCAACUUUAACUUCGUUAAGAACACGAGAGGCGCGCCUUUUCGAGCUUAUAUUGUUGCGAAGAAAUUCACUUCGAACGCGGGCCACUUUGUAUUCGACAAGUACAACGAGUUUAUUUGCCUGCAAACUUUAUUCCGAGGCGCGAAAUACAAAGUUACGCCUCACCUUUUGACGGACGGAGAACACGUGACCGUUCAUUUCCCUCGUAAAUAAACUCCCAUCGAAGGAAAAUGUGCUACGGAAUUUUAACCGACUCAACGCGACCGAUGGAUCGUCUUAAAGUUCCUUUCAAUCGUUGCUGCGAGGAUUUUCCGACUUUACGUUAACAAUCAUUUUUAUCCAAAGAGAUGUUUCAAGCUUAUGAAGUAUUUCGGAAAUUUACAGAGCCCCAAAUACUCUAAAAUAGUAUCGCAGUUUCAAUAUUUUUCACGAACGCAGCGAGACUCGCGAAUUAACGGAGAAAAAGUUUGGUGCGAUAUUCAGCGUGAGAAAAACAUCAAAUGAACUACGGACGUGGAAAAAAGCAACAAGAACGAAAAUAAAAUAAAAUAAAUCAUGUUUGAUUACAGUGUCGUUACGAUGCCGCGGCAGAGUGCCCAACCGCUCCCGCUUGCACAUUUUUUGACAAGCCUGCAACUUGACACAGAAAAAGUGCGUAUGCGUGCGAAUCAUAUCCGAGCCACGAGAUGCAACGUUGCUUUUUCUCCAAAUUACCGGUAAUCCGUCGCAGCGCGCGGGCACUUUUCGUCCUUUCAAAUCUGCAAACCACAUCCGGAAGUGGGAUCGCGCAUUCGACUGAUAUUUCGCUCAAAUCUCGUCGUGUCCGUGGCAUGUGCCUGGCAUGAAAAAAAAACAAGAAAUUCAAAGCGAUUGCAUCCUCCGGAUGGGAGCCUCGGAGACAAACUCUACGAUAUCGUUACGCUCGUAUUCGUCAUGAAGAGAGGAGAUACGAAAAGAGAACCGGAAGUGCGAAGGUGCAAAUUAGAAGGGAUGGCGCCACCGUCGUGCCACGGGACAACAAAACAGUGGAGAUUUAUUUCGCGACUCCUCGCCAAAGUGAGAGACGAGGCGAAGGAGAAAAAACUUGCAACUACAAUUGUGCGAGAACUGCGGGAAAUUUUGUGCGUCGUAUCCGUCGAAGGGCUGAAGGCUCGGGUGGGAUUAAUUGCCGUUGAUAAUUAAUAAGAAAACAAUGAACAAAUGUGAGUAUGAAGAAAAAUGAUAAAAUAAAAACAAAGGAAAGUCACAAUCCCUCGCGAUUCAUUAGUGGAUUAUUCGAAGCGAGCGCAAGUCGAUUAGCCAAUAUAUUUAUUUUAUGUGUUAAAAAAGACAGUAGGUUGAUAGUCGUGUAAUGACAACCCACGAGCAGAGGCUGUGUAUGAGUGCGGGGAAAUGGGAUGGGCUCAAAAAUAUUACGAGCUUUUCGUUCAAGGGCUUCGUAAUGGGCUACGUACACAAGGCGAGGUAUCGAUGCGUUCAUUUAUAUAUGUAUAUACGUGUACAUAUGUGAGUGCGAUACGUGUAUUUUAUAUAUACACAAACGCAUCGGUGUAAGGCGAAAUAUGAAUUGGGAAUCCGCGAACACUGUGCCACAAUCAAACUACCGCCAACCUCGAAACGUAAUAAAAUAAAAUAGAUAUUGCAGAAUGAGAAAGUAUCGUAUCUGAUAAAAGAGAAAAUAAUGUUUUUUUUUUUUUUUUUUUUUUUAAAUUGAGAGGAAAAAAAAUGUUUUUGCUUUUUUUUUUUUUUUUUCAAAACAAUAUUAAGUUGAAGAAAUUUUGUGAAAGUGAAAACAAAAGAAGUUUAUCAAAAAUCGACAAUUUAUAAACGAGACUUUAAAACCAUGAAAAAGGCGACCCACCGGUUGAGGCUGCCUGCCUCUCCCUCUGGCAGGUGGCGGAGGCGGCGCAUAAUAGUAAUCUUCGUAUCGAUAAUAGUCAUCGUAAUAUGGAUCACUGUAGCCACCUCGAUAAUCCCCAUAACCGUAAUAGUCGUAAUCAUAAUCUAUAAAAACACACAUUACAAAUAGACCCAAAUUUAAAAACCAAUUUGCUCUCGUUCUCUCUAUCUUUCUCUCUUUCGUUCGAUCUUUCUCUCGGUUGCACAACAAACUCUUCAAAUUUUAUAAACUUCUUUCUACGAAUCGAGUUUUUUGUUUUGCCGAUACAACAAAUGCAUGCCGGGAAAAGAUACGUUGAAGAAAAAAUUUAGAAAAAAAUACAUUUUUUUUUUCUCGCAUCGACGACAUUGAUUUUUAAUCCGCAGGGCCUCGUGGAAAACGAGAAAAACAAACCCGAAAGAAGCUACCGAUCUUCGACAAUCGGGGGGCGGGGGGCGGGUGCGGGGAACAAACAAAAUUUUGCAUUUCCAGAAAUCUCGCAACGACCUCCGCCUAAAAAUUUGCUCCGCUAGCCAAGCACUUCGUACAUUGUCGUAAAAAAUGUUCUUUCGGUUCCAUUAACGUCAUAAAAACGAAAAUAAAUAAAAAAAAAAAACGGUAGUUACUUUAAAAUACGGCUUUUCCGGAAAAAGACUUUUUUAUACGACAAUUUGGAAAAUUUUGUGAGAAUAUAUGACGACAAAGAGAAAAAAGAAAUUUUCGUUUGGUCAAUAAUGAUCACUGGACUGCUGAACAACUGACGGAAAGGGGACGAGAAAUAAAUCGUAGUUUUUCGGAAAAGCCGCACUUUUUCGCUCUUCAGUAAAAAAUCGGAGGCGAGCAAAAGAUUCUGGGGACCUGUUAACCAACGUUAUGCGAAUCGCCCGUAUAGCAGGAGUCGGCGCGAUGUAAAUUCUCGGCCCGUCGUCGGACCGGGGUGGAAAAAAAAAAUUGUUUUACCUCGCGUAUAUCCAGCAUUUCGGUAGAUGCGAAAAAAAAUCGAUGAGAAAUGAUUGUUCUCAAUGAACGUAAGCUGGACGCUGAUGAUAAGGGGGAAACGGAAAUCUCUGGCAAUAUUAUUUACGAGAAAGAUCAAGUAUUUAAGGUGAAAAAAAAUAAGUUUCUUUGCUACAGCAUUCACGUAAAUAAGUUGUAAUCCAGCUUACCCAUUUCCUUGGUAGCUAUAAACAGACCUGUUGAAAUUUUUUUUCGUUGUUUUUUCGUCUCAUAUAUUUCUAUAUAAUUCGCAGUGAAAACGAUACUACAUUACACACAACUACUACAUUUACUGGCACACGAUAUAAUUUGCGUUUGUGCGAAGAGCGAGAACGAAAAUUUGAACGAUGUAACAAUGAAAUAAAUUAAAUACAGUGUGCGGAA